This 72-nucleotide transfer RNA is filed under the name Camelus bactrianus (Bactrian camel). It matches the Rfam family "tRNA". Rfam says of the family: Transfer RNA (tRNA) molecules are approximately 80 nucleotides in length. The record is from Rfam by way of RNAcentral. Lineage: Eukaryota; Metazoa; Chordata; Mammalia; Artiodactyla; Camelidae. RNAcentral also lists the same sequence under 1 other name.
GAGGGGAUAGCACAGUGGCAGAGCGCUUGCUUAGCAUGCACGAGGUCCUGGGUUCAAUCCCCAGUACCACCA